AACCGGUACUCUACAGUGCACUGUGUUGCCAGAUGAUUUUGCCUAACUCUAUGCUACUUUAAGUUGCUGAGGACAUGUAAGACUGUUCAGAUAUAGAGAGAAAGGAUACUAUCUGCCACAGGAUGAAAGAAAAGCUGGUGGAAGACGCACCCAGAGGGCAGAUUCUGAGUCGGGCUUGGUGAGCUAUGUAAAGGCAAAGGGCAGUUGAGAAACAU
This 215-nucleotide long non-coding RNA is filed under the name Homo sapiens (human). Its description in RNAcentral is "HSALNT0079787". The record is from RNAcentral. Lineage: Eukaryota; Metazoa; Chordata; Mammalia; Primates; Hominidae.